AAAAAGUAGGUUUUGUUUAUGAUAGCCAUUGUUAAAAUGAGAGUGGCGGCUCAUGUCUUAAUUUGGAAGAUCGAUAACCACCAAAUGAAGAAUCGCUAUGGCGCUUAUAAACUCAGGUAUGCUUCCGCAUCUAGCAUUAUAUUUUUGAUAAAUCGGCAUUAAUUGAUUUUGGGAAAAGAUUUAUCUCUAAAAUUAGUCCCAACAGUAUAUUCAUAAUAUUCUUGAUAUGAUUGCUUGCUUCUCAAGGACUCUAAAUUUUGUUACAUAAAAUUUUUAAUUCACUUAAGUGCAGAAAACUUUAUACAUAACUAGUGACAAUUAGGUGAUCACCAUGAAAAAUUAUGAGAUCUGUUAAACCCAACAUUCAUUACUCAUUGGUUGUAUUUUUUUGUAUAAAUUGGGUUUAAUUUUUUUUUUUUUUUUUUUUGUAAAUAUCAUGACUAUUUAUCUUAUAGACUUUGCUUACAAGUCUUAUUUUUUUUUUUCCUCAUUCAAAAUUCAUCUUGCUCUCUCGCUUUUCUCUGAAUAUCAAGCUGACUUUCUACUUCUCCAAGUAUAUUAGACGGCUUAUAUAAUUGUUCUUUUUGAAUGGGUAAGAUUUCAAAACUUUUACAACUACUUUGUAUUAAUUUGGAUAUGUUAGAACUUUUAUGGACCUGCAUAUAUGGAGAAAAAUUGUAUGUUGACUGCUGUAUAUCAGUAAACGACUGACAAAAAUUAAAGUUAUAUUAAGGUUUAAACUUAAUGGGCCUAAAGGAAUCCCUCAUUAAGUAUGGGGUCUUAUGUAUAAAUAUCCGGAUGUAAUUUUUAAAUUAAUUAUGGACUAAAUUAGAAUUACUUAAACCUACUUUUUUAUAAAAAUAAAGUUAUUGUCCCAAAUCAAAAAGUAGGUUUUGUUUAUGAUAGCCAUUGUUAAAAUGAGAGUGGCGGCUCAUGUCUUAAUUUGGAAGAUCGAUAACCACCAAAUGAAGAAUCGCUAUGGCGCUUAUAAACUCAGGUAUGCUUCCGCAUCUAGCAUUAUAUUUUUGAUAAAUCGGCAUUAAUUGAUUUUGGGAAAAGAUUUAUCUCUAAAAUUAGUCCCAACAGUAUAUUCAUAAUAUUCUUGAUAUGAUUGCUUGCUUCUCAAGGACUCUAAAUUUUGUUACAUAAAAUUUUUAAUUCACUUAAGUGCAGAAAACUUUAUACAUAACUAGUGACAAUUAGGUGAUCACCAUGAAAAAUUAUGAGAUCUGUUAAACCCAACAUUCAUUACUCAGUUUAUAGUCCUAAGUUGAUUUGCUAUGUUUAAAUAUAUAGCUUUUGUAACUACUUUAUCACUUCUAUUAAAAGCCAAUUGUGAUGACCCACUACAUUCAUGUCAUGUAGGUGCCACAUGGCAUAAAGAUGCUUAUGUGGAAAGCUUACAUGGAAAGAAAGCUAGUCCCUUAAUGGUAUACUCUAGAAAAAUAUGAAAAUUUUCCAUGAAAAAUUCUAGAAUUCCUUAGAUUUGCAUGAAAAGUUCUUGAAAUUUUGUAGCAUUGUAGAAAACUCUAGAGAGAGGACUAUUUUAUAAACAUGAGCGACUUGUAGGAUAAUUAUUAUUUGCAUUUUAGUCAUUAGGUAAAUAGCAUAAAUAGAGAGAUAUUCAUUUAUAAAACCAUCAAGCAAAAGUCUUCCAAUUCUUGACAGCAUAAAUAGAGGGAUAUUCAUUUGUAAAACCAUCAAGCAAAAGUCUUUCAAUUCUUGAGUAAUAUAAAAGCUUCCUUCAGAAAUUCUCUUGUAUCUUUCUUGAAAUUAGCAUUCUCUUAGCGAUUUAGUGUCAAAAAGUCUUACUGGAGUUUGUAAGAUCGUGAAAAAUUCGUAAGCAAGUUUUCAAGUAUCAAAGAGAUACUUAGUAGGGGUCUAUGUCCGUGACAACGUGGUAUCAAAGCAAAUAUUAAUACUAGGAAAAUGAAAAAAAGGGGAGACAUUAAUGCUGCUAGCACCACCAAUGUUAAACAGAAUACUGUGGAGAAGCACCAAAAAGGGAGAAAUAAUCAUAUGAAGAGUAAGAAACUAUUGUUUGACCCUACACCAAGUGAAGCGCUAACAUCUUACUCACAUUCGACCGCUAAGCGAGUAAGGACAAAAAAGAGGAGGUGUCCCAAGACGUCACGUUGGGAUUAAAGUGGAUCAUAAGGGUUGAUACAACGAGGAAGACUGUGGAGAUUUCUAAACAAUUUCUAAACAAGAUCGACAACCAACUCAAGACUCUUUAAGGAGAAUGAAAACAUCUGAAAAGAAUUGGAGGGAGGCACAAAAAUUCAGAAUUAGAGAUGCGAGAAACUAUCACUACCUUGGAGUGAGAGCUCAUGGAAGCAUUAAGCACUAUUGAGACCAUGAAGGCCAACAUAGAGGCACUCAAUUGGCCAAUUGAAGCUGGAGGGUUCGCGAUAUACAACAAAGAGAGAGAGGCCAUGGUUGAGGCUGUAAAGCCACCCAUGUUCAAAGGCGCUCAUGAUGCACAAGAGGUAGAGAAAUUUCUGUGAUUUGGAGAAUUAUUUAAAGUUCAACAAGGUUAAGAGUGAUGAGAAAAAAGCUUGGAGAUGGCCAUGCUAUGGUGAAAACAAAAGGAACCUGAGAUGGAGAAAGAGCUUUGCACCAUCUAUAUAUGGGAAUAAUUUUGAGUGAGUUCAGAAUGACUUUCUUACCCAAUAAUGCCUUAUGAGGUGAAGCGCAAGUUUUCAAAGUUGAAAUAGACUGACAACAUACAAUCAUACGUAAAGGAGUGCACCGCUCUCACACUUAAAAUUCUUACCCUUAUAGAUGAGAUAUGUUGUUCCACUUCAUAGUUGGGCUACAAAAUUAGGCCAAGGCAGAGUAGAAAGUCGACAUAUUAAUACUACUAAUGAAGCCAUCAUACUGAAUCUUUGACAAACUUUAAGCAUGACAAAUAUAACAAAGGUACAGACAAGGAAACAAGAAGAAGUCAUAACAAAGAUGGAGAAGAUCAUGGCAAAAACAAGGAGAAACAACCGUACCCCAAGAAUCACGACAUCAAUGGUGAUGGCAAGAUGUUUGGAUGUCAAAACUAUACCAAGAGAAAGGUACAUAUAAUGAAGAAAAAUGCCAGCCACAUAUGCGGUGUGCUGCAUGGCUAUGCAAGGUGACCCAAAAUAAAGACCUUUGGUGUCAUAUUACUUAAACGAAAAUAAAAAGAUGCACAACACCAAAAACAAGGUGGGGAACUAUACAAUUAGGCUCGAGUGGGCUAUGUGACAAUAUCUCAAAGCAUUUAUAAAGGCCGAAAGAAUACAACAUCCAAUGUGUGGACAUCACCAUCGAUGAUCUAUCUGCUCGGGCUAUGAUCGACUUAGGUGCGGAAGCCAAGAUCAUGACCAAGGCAACAACAACAUAGUUGUGGUUGAGUUCAAAUCCAAGCAAUGGUCACCUCAAUACAGUCAAUGUACCACUAACUCUAGUGUACAAAGUUUCUAAAUGAGUAUGCAUCAUAUUGAGCAAGUGACAAGGCAAAACCAACUUCACCGUCACUUCUAUAGAUAUCUUUGACAUAAUUCUUAAAUAGGAUUUCUUCCAAAGAAGUCAUACUAUGAUCUAUUCAUACCCCCUACAACUCUUGGUUAUGCAGUGAGAACGAUCUUAUAUGUCACCCAUGUUUAAGCUUUCAAAAAUGGAAGGACAAGUAAAAUUAUCGGUCGUGCAGCUUAUGAAGGGCCUUAAGAAGGGGGGGUCGAUGUUAUAGUCACUAUUGCAAGAUUGGGUAAAGACAAUAAUGCCCAAUAAGAAAUGCCACCAGAGAAUAAUGAUGUUAUGCUCGAGGUACGAUCGAAGCUAGGAACAUUUUAUAUGGCUCUACCUAAGUUGGAUGAACUAAGAAAACAAGUGAAAGAGUUGUGCAAAGAUGGUCAAAUUCAGCCAUCAAAAUCCCCUAUACAACGCAAGUCUUAUUUCAAAAAAAGAAGGAUGGGACUAUACAUAGACUAUAGGGAACUCAACAAAGUAAGAAUGAAGAACAAACGCCUUAUACUGCUUAUUGAUCGCCUAUUUGAUAGACUUAGAUGUGCUAAAUACUUUACCAAGAUGGAUCUUGAAAAGGGUUACUACAAAGUAUGUAUAACAAAAGGGAAUGAAUCAAAGACAACAUCUAUAAUAAAAUAUGGAGCCUACGAGUGAUUGGUGGUGCCCUUCGGCUUAACCAAUGCACCCACUACCUCUUUCACACUAGUGAGCAAGGUUUUUCAUCCCUAUUUAGACCAGUUCAUGGUAGUGUACCUAGAGGACAUAGUUUUCUACAAAAAGGGCUUGGAGGAGAAUAUUGAGCACUUGAAAAAAGGGUUUUCAGGUUUUGUGAGAGAAUGAGCUUUACAUUAAAUGAGAGAAAUGUGCGUUUUCCCAACAUGAGGUACCCUCCUUGGGUCAUGUCAUUAGCCAGGUGUGAUUACGUCUGAACGAGGACAAGGUGCGGGCUAUUUAAGAAUAGGAGGCAUCCAUGAAGGUGACUAAGUUUAGAUAUUUUCUUGGAUUUGCUAACUAUUAUCGUAGAUUCAUUAGUGGCUACAUUGCUAAAGGAUCUGUAACUAAGUACAAAUACAUCUCCUUACUACUUUUUUGGAGCAACAUGACAAUUGUAAAUAAUAUAAAGGUCAUGAUUGGCUUCUUAAGUUCAUUGCACGUUUAGUAGUGAUGUUGAUCUUUAAAUAUCCUUAAAGAAACUUCUAGUGGUAGACUUUUUAAAAUAAAUAUCUUUUAUUAAUAAAAAGCAUAGGCCUAAAUUAUGAAUUCACCCUAGCUUUUAGUUUGAUUCCAAAAAUCAUAUUAUUUGUCUUGAAUUCUGGAUCAAUUUUGGUCUAAGUAUUCAAAUUGAUUAAAUCAUAACCAUACACAAAUUCUACAUCUACACAUAUGUUAUGUUAACACUGGUACAUCACCAUAUAUAAAGAGUCGACCAACUUAGGAUAGUAUUAUAUUAGACCUUAACUCUAUUAACAUUAUUCAUAUUUCCUUAUUAAGUUUCAAUUUGAAGUAAAUUAUUCAUGAAAGCCUUGUAUCAAACAACAAUCCUACCAACAGAUAUACCUAAUGUUAUUAGCACAUUUAUCACCUAUAAUUUUCAUGUCCUUUACAUUUUUUAUUCAAAUUCAAUCUAGAGGUGUAAUGUCCUCUUAAAAUAAUGCUAAAACAUAGAUAAACUAUCAAUGUUAUUCACUUAGGGUGUUGAAGACACCAAGCACUAUAAUCAAAUAGUUGUCUCAUGAAAAAUUGCAAAAACAAAAAAGAUAAAGAAGAUCUCCGAACUGAUAUAAUGUAAAGAUGCAUGUAACAUAUGAAUAGUCUUAUUCUAUAAUUAACAAACUAAAGAAACUUAAAAGUAUUUAAGCCGUAGUUUUUACAGGUCAUUAGUUAUAAUAUUAGCAUUUGAUUGAGUUUCUGCAACUUUUAUUCUUGAUGUGUUCUUGAUUUAUUUUGUAAAAUAGAACAAAUUGAGUUUUAAUGUAGAUGUUUGAUGCAAUAUUAAAAUGAAACUUAGGAACUGCUGUAUAUCUGAUCAAUUCAUCUUCUGGGUUGUGUAUUAUAAAAGUUGAUCUAGCUAUAAUCAAUAUUUCACCUUUAAUUUAUUUGACAUGCAUUGUGUUGGAGAAAUAGCAGAAGUAAAUGAACCAACCUCAAGAUCAAUAGGAUAUUUGAUGAUUAUAUAUUUUUGUCUAUGAAGUUUUAACCCUAUAUGUUUUAUAAUCCACACAUUUGUAUGACUUUUUGACAAAUAAAAAAUGCAAAAAGAAUAUUUUCAACAAUCGCACCAGUGAAAGACUACCUUUUUCAUAGUAGAACAUCUCUAUUUUUCCUUUUUUUCAUUAGCCCAAUUAAUUUUUUUUUUUGUACGAGCCCUCAUAUGUAUUAAGACCAUUAACAAUAGCAGGUCAAUAAAGCUUUUCAUUCACAAACUUACCUGAAAUACUUAAUUGCCUCUUACCAUCAACACCUUUUUCAAGAAUCAUUGUUUAACUAUAUAAGUGGAUCUCAACUUGAUUUGAAUUUCUAGUAUUGAAAUGCACACUAUUUUAUAAUUAUAGUGGAAUUCAUCAAAUUCAAAAUCAAUUAUGUGCAAAUCAAGCUUCACUAAUGUAGAUCUAGGAUUAGGUAAUUUCUUAGACUUCCUUUUGAUGUAAUUCGUAUAAUCAUGUUAGUAGAUUCAUUUUCAAGAUAAAUCAAUUCAUUAAUUGAACCUACAAUUCAAACAUGUGUAUGGACAUCAUUCAAGGAUAAUCCAAGCAAUAUUUCUCUAUAACAAAGUUAUUGGAUAAGGAACUAGCAGAAGAUUUUUUAAAAAUUAUUGAUAUUCAUAAUCAAAUAAGUCAUGUCUUGGGCAAACACAAGACUAUGGUGUGUAAUAUGUAUUAUCAAUAGUUACGUAAAGAUGAUUCUUGAUAAAUUCAAGGCUAGAUAUCAAAGUAAGUCAAGGUUUCUAUACCUAUCUAAAUUUUAAGAGAGAUUCCACCGAAAGCCUUAUUUCAGUGACAAGUUUUGAUGGCAAAGUAGAUAUUUCAAGAUUGAAUCUAUUGAUGGAAUUUGAGAAUGAGCAGUGAAUUUACUUUGUUUUAGCUGUUUAUGGAAGACUUGAGCUUCCUCACAUUAAAUUUUGACAACACAAAGUUGAAUUUUUGAUGUAAAUUCUGUUAUGGAGGCAACAAUUUUACCAAAAUUUAAUUUAAAGGGGAGCAAUAUUAUUUGGAUCUUUUAAUCAUGAUUUCUUGUUUGAUGUCUUUGCUGGUAUAUAUUUUAUAAAUUAGCUAAUUUAUUUAUAUUUUCACAUGAUUUUGAUAUAUAGCUUUGAAAUAUGGAUUCAAAUAUAGCCUUGAAUUUAAAAACAACACUAACAUAUGGAUAAAUUGUCUAAUUUGUAAAAUAUUUAGUUGUACAGACAUCAAACAAGAAUUCAGGACCAGAAGGCCCAAAUUAUUACUGUCAUCCUUUAAAUUCAACUGUGGUAAUAUUGUUGCCUCCAUAGCUGAAGUUGCCUUAAAGUGCUCAACUUUAUACUGUCAAAAUAAAAUUUGAGGAAGUUCAAAUUUUUCAUCAGCACUUAAAAUAAAGUAAAUUCAUUAUCCAUGCUCAAAUUCUAUCAGCAAAUUCAAUAUUGAAAAUUCCUGUUCUGUCAUAAAAAAUUAUCAGAGAAAUUCUUUUAAGGCUUUGAGUGAUACCCCUCUUGAGAUUUAGUUAUGUAUCACUAUCUUAACUUACUUUGAUUUCUAGUCUUGAAUUUAUCUAUAAUCGUCAUUGUGUAAGUGCUGAUAAUAAAGAUAAUGCACACCAUAUUUUUGUGUUUGUCAAAUACUGAUACCCCUCUUGAGAUUUAAUUAUGUAUCAAAAUAUUAACUUACUUUAAUUUCUAGUCUUGAAUUUAUCAAGAAUCUUCAUUGUGUAAAUACUGAUAAUAAAGAUAACACACACCAUAUUCUUGUGUUUGUCAAACACAACUACUUAUCUAGUAAUGUAUAUCAAUACUUUCUUACGAAUUAUUCUGUUAGUACCUUAUUCAAUAACUUUGUUAUGAGGGAUAUAACUUGGAUUAUCCUUUGAAUAAUGCCUGCACACAUGUUUGAUUAGUGACUCAAUAAAUGUGUUGAUUUAUCUUGCUAUUGCAUCCACUAACAUGUUACAUGAAAUUCAUUAAUUAGAAAGUUCAAGAAAUUUUUUAUUCCUAGACCUAUAUCAGUGAGGCUGGAUUUGCACAUAAUUAAUUUUAAUAUGAUGAAUUUCAUGAUAAUUAUAACGUAGUGUAUAUUUUAAAUACUACAAGUUUAGAUCAAGUCGAGAUUCACCUAUAUAGUUUAAAUAGUGAGUUUUGAAAAUGUAUUAAUAGUUGCCCAAUUUAGGGGCUGUUCAGAAUUUCAGAGAUAAGUUUGUGAAUGAAAAAUUUUAUUGGCUUGCUAUUGCUGAUAAUCUUAAUACAUGCGAUGACAGCUACAUUAUUUUUUCUAUUUGACUAAUAAAAAAUUAGAAAAGAUGAAGAUACUCCGAUAUAAAAAAGUAAUCUUUCAUUGGCGGGAGUGUUGGAAGGUGAUCCUUUUUGUGUUCUCGAAUUACCAAAAAAUUCAUGCAAAUAAGUUGGUUAUAAAAGAUUAUGAGGUUAAAAUAUCUUAGACAUAAAUGUAUACCAUUAAAUAUCCUGUUGGUCUUGAGGAGAGUUCGUUUACUUCUAUUUUUCUCCAACAUUAUGCGUAUAAAAUAAAGGUGAAAUAUUAAUUGUGACCAGAUCAACUUUCACGAUAUACAAUUUAGAGAAUGAAUCGAUUAGAUAUACAAUUAUUCCUAAGUUUUGUUUCAAUAGUGCAUCAAACGUCCACAUUAGUUGCCUAGUUUGUCCUCUUGUACAAAACGAACCAAGAACACAUCAAGAAUAGAGGUUGCAGAAGCUCAAUCAAAUGAUAAUGUUAUAGUUAAUGAUUAGUAAGGAUUUCACCUUAGAUAUUUUUAUGUUUCUUUAAUUUGUUAAUUAUAGAAUAAGAGUUUGCAUAUGUUUCAUGUAUCUUUACAGAACAUCUUCUUGAAGAUUUUUUUUUUAUCUGUUUUUCCUUUUACAUAUUUCUAUCAGAUAAUUAUUUGAUCAUAGUAUUUGGUGUCUUUAACACUCAAAGUAAUGAUAUGGAUAUUUUAGUUCUUUUUAAGUAUUCUUUUAAGGGAACGUUGUGCUUUCAAAUAGAAUUAGAACAAAGAGUGUGAGGGUGAAAAUCAUAGCAGAUAAAUUUACUAAUAACCAUAAGCAUAUUCUUUGAUAGGAUACUAUUCUGAUAUAAGAACUUUAUUAAUAAUUCUAUUUAAAUUGCAACUUAACAAUGAAGUAAGAAUAAUAUUAAAAGAAUUAAGGUCUGCUAUAGUACUAUUUUAAGUUGCAAAAAAUUUUCAUGUCGAGUGCCGCAUUUGUGUCGCACGAAAUAAAUAUAGGUGUGAAAUUCAUAACUGAUAUGAUUAAUUAAUCUAAAUUUUUUAAUCAGAAUUGAUUGAUUAAUUUGGGAUAGAUACAAUGAAUUUUGAAAUCAAAAUGAGGGUAAAAUCAUACUUUAGGAUAAAAGAUAUUUUUAUUUAAAAGCUCGCUAUCGCAGGGUGCUUUAAAGAUUUUUAAGACCAACAUCCUUGAUGGAUAUGCAAUGAACUCAAGAACUCCUAUCAUAGCCUUUAUAUUAAUUACAAUAGUCGUGCUGCAUCGAAAAAAUAUUAGUAAGAAAAUGUCCACUAAAUACAGUGUUACUUAUGUUGUCUCUACUAUGAUAAAAGUUGAACAAAACUUCUCCUCCUUGAAUAUUUUUUGUAUGUAGUCACUUGAGAUUAUCGUGAUAAAAAGUUGAACAAUCUUCUUUUAAAAUCCUUUCAUAUAUAUGACAAUGUUGGUGUUGUUAAUUUUUUCAGCUUGUAAUGAAUUUUCAGUUGAUACAUGCUAAAAGAGGCAAAAGCUUGAAAAAUAAUUAUUGAAUGCAAUAUAUGAUUAAUUUUUACUCGCUACGAUACUUGUAAUCAAUGUUGUGUUUUAUUAUUUUUAUAUUUCAGUUGUUAGCAUUUUAGUUAAUCAAAUUUUAUCAAGUAAGUAGUUUGUUGAAUGAAAGUAGUAGAAUUUUUGAAUUUAUUAUCUAGUUGAGUGAUAGUAGAAGUUAGUGGGCCACUAUCCUAUUUUUUUCUUAACAAAAUUCUAUUCAAGGAGUACAAUUAUUGUAAAUAAGGACUAUGAGAAGUUUAGCCAAUUCAAUAGAAUUCUAGUAUUUUUUUUACUCUUAAUCAUAGUCUCUACUUUUCCAUCGGUGAUUCAGCAUCAGAUUAAAACCUUAGCUUUUUGUGAGAGAAACACUUAAGAAAUGUUGCAGCAACAAUGUGUUAACCUAUGACUUCCAACAACUUUAUGUAGACAACCAUACCUCACUGUGACCGUCAGGACGUGUUGGUAAAGAUUUCAUAGUAUCAAAGAAGUGUUGACAUGUGGUUAUAGAUAGAAUAUUAGAAAUAGCAAACGGAAUAACAGUGCUAGACACAAAAAAGCAGAAGCAUAAGUAGCAAAGUUAAAAAACCUCAAGGUGAUGAAUUAUCCUUUUCAAGAAAUUGAUCGAGGAUAGAGGUAGAAUUCCAAAUUUGUGUAUCAAUUUCUCAAUUAGUGUAUUUUUAAUAAAUUCAUUCAAUGUUCUUAUAUAUGAAUUUUAAAAUAAAGUUAUUAGAACUUGAAGUUACAGUUCUAAAAUUCAAAGCUCAUAAAGUCAAAAAUCUGAAUUUGUCUCUUGAACGUUAUUCGUGAUAAAUGGUUGAGAAAAAUUCUUGUAACGAUCCGAGACUACCCCCAAGUCGUCACACGAUGCUUGGAACCACAAGUGAUCCCAAGAUAAUGUGAUGCCCCGAGUUUCAUGAAGUUUACAUGUCAUAAAUCUCUCAUUCUUUUCUGACAAAAUCAGAUCUAGCCUAAAGAAAUUGUUAUCCCUAAGUUUACUCUAUCGCUUCGAUCUAAGCCAUAUAGCUAUUUUCAUGAAAGUUCAUACACUCACAGAUCAGUUUAGUAGCCCACUACGUUGAGAUUCAGUCACAUAGUUUAUUUCAAUUGUGCAUGAUAGCUUAUAACCUAUGAUUCCUCAGUAAUUUCAGUCUAAUUAGCCACAUUCGAGGAUGAAUGUUCCCAAAAUAGAGAUAUUAUAAUACCCCAUACUUUUCCUAGCUUAAAAUCAUCCCCAGAAUGUCAAAAUAUUUCUUCAAAAAUGAAUACUAUUUAUUUUAUGCGGUAUUUUCAAGAUUUUGACUUUUUAUUGUGUGGAAAAUUGAAUAAGAUUUCCAUCGAUACCAAAUUUACCUAAAUCUGACACUCGGUGAAGGAGUUAUGGCUAUUUUAAGUUCUAGUCGUAAAACACCGUCAUUUCGGUCACUAGCGCGUCGCGGAGAAGAUUUAAAUGACGAUUGUCAAUUUCCAGUGGACCUACGUGAUAAUGGCGCAUUGUGCCAUGUGCCAAAAUGGCAUUCCAAAGGGGCACCGUGAUGGCUCCGUAUUGCGGAGUCUGCCUAGUUCCCGUUUGUCGAUUUCCAGUGAGCCAUCGCAAUAGUAGCGUGUCGCGGUGGCCACCCAUUUUGCAAAAUGUUGAAUUUUUUAGUUUUGUUUGGGGGUUUAAUGAGGGUAUUUUGGUCAUCCUCCCAGCCCCUAGUCUGUCUUAAACAUUGAAUUAAACCCCUCCAAAGCACCUUACGUUCAAUUUUCAUCAAAUUUCUCUCAAACAAAACCCUAGAUCAUCAAGCUUUCUCCCUAAGAAACUCAAAUUCCUCCAUUAACCUUUCAAGGAAACUCAAGAUUUGGAAUCGCCAAGUCAAGAACUCCAAUAAUUCAUCUCCAAAGCAUCAAUAGGGAUCCAAGAUUCAAGUUCUAGCAUCUAGUUCAUCCAACAAGGUAUGUGGGGUUUGAAAAAGUAUAAAUCUUUCAUCCUUGUGCCCAAAACUUUUUUUUUAUUACAAAUUUACUGCAAUUUAUUUGAUUUCCCAUGAUUUUCAAGUUAGGGUUUAUACCCAUUAUCAUUAUUUGCAAGAUUAUGAGAUUUCCCAUGAUUUAAAAGUUGAAUUACAUGUUUAUGUUCAUAUUUUCAUGCUUAAUUCAGAAAUUUCCAGAUUUGAGAUGAAUUAUCAUUGACAUUAUUAUCAAGCAUGAUUACUAUGAUAUUUUGACAUGACUUUGCUAUGUGGGUUUUAAGUCCCAAGAUUAUAUGUUGAGAUUUUGAAAAAAAAUGUUGCUUUAAACUUCCUAUUAUCAGAUUAUUUCAUAGAUUUUUAGUAAAACUUUGAUCUUUCAAUCAUCAUAUUAGCUAUGAAAUCCACUUUACAGAUUAUUACAGAUUAUAGAACUCAAUAUAGCUUUCUUUAAAGAUCUACUCAGAUGAUUGCAUAAUUCGUUUUAGAUAAACCCUUAUGCUAGUUUUAAAAUGGAUUUCUAACAGAAUGAGCGUAGCAAAUAAAAAGAGAGUAGUAUUUAGCACCGAGAGGGAAGUGUAGGUUUAGCGCAUCCUACUUCCACAGAACUACGUAGCCAACGGAGGUACAGAUUCAGAUUAUUCACAUUUAUAUGGAUGACAGAUUUAGCUUGUGAUCGAUCACAUACUCCCUGACAAGAGUAUGACACCUCUCUUCAACGUGAGGUUUCUUUCUUAGGAGGGCAAAAUGUUGGACUCUAUGUUAGCUCACAUGGUUUAUGUUGCUUAAGAGAACCUCCCUACUAAUAAAAGUAAUAGUUUUCAGAAUAGUUUUAAAGUAUUUCCUUUCAGAUAAGAGAUACAGUAUUCUCCUUAAUAGUAAAAGAAGACCAGAAAAGCUUUUAGAAAUCUAAGUGUAAAGGCUCACAAGUUUUACUCAGAUUAUACCUUACAUAAAAGAUAAUAGCUACAAAUUUCAGCUUUUAGAUUUCAGAUUCAGUAGUGAGUCCUUCUACACUUAGUCAGAAUGAUUUAAAGGGAGAAUACAAGUAUAAUUUUUAGAACUAAAUGUUAUGGAUCACAAGAUUUAUAAAGUAUGUUUUGCUUCCUAUUGUUAUAUAUUUUAGUAUUUCAGAUAUUCCAUCUUAUGUGAGUCAUUUACAUUUAGCAUGCAUCAUUUUACAAAUUAUGAUGACUGAUAUUAUGUUUUACUUAUGCAUUCACAUCCAUAUACUCAGUACAUCCUCAAAUUACCGAUCCAUAUAUAUGUCUAUGUGCUACAUUGUCUCAUAAUGUAGGUACGAGUUGCAACACGCAUACCAUAUUCAGACAGUUUGCAGAUUUCAGCCAGCGGAUGAUGAGUCCUCCUACUUAAGGGACUUUAGUUAGAUGUUAUUUAUGUACUUUACUUCCUUACUCUCAUGUAUUGAUUAUUGAUAGUUGGGGUCACAUCCUAGCUAUCUAUAGUCAGUAUAGUAGAAGCUCUACAGAUGUCAGUUAGAGUCAGUUAUGUAUUUUUAGUCCCUCUUUCAGACUUUAUUAGAAUGUAAAAGUUGUAUUGAUAUUGUUUUUAUGUCCAGGUUCAACCAUUAUUCUAUUUCCACACAGUAAACUCAGUUGUUUUAUGCAUAUCAUUCAG
This 13035-nucleotide long non-coding RNA is filed under the name Capsicum annuum. RNAcentral's name for it is "long non-coding RNA (CANN_LNC002984)". The record is from RNAcentral. Lineage: Eukaryota; Viridiplantae; Streptophyta; Magnoliopsida; Solanales; Solanaceae.